AUCCGCUCACCUUGGCCUCCCAAAGUGCUAGGAUGACAGGCGUGAGCCACUGUGCCUGGCAAGUUUUCUUGCUUUUGAAAAAGAUAUGUAGAAAGAGAAAGCCUUUUCUUUUUCUGGAACUUGUGACAUCUGCAUGUGAUGUCUGGAACUUCAGCAACCAUCUUGUGACUGUGAGAGGGAUGAGCCUAAGGAUAAUGCUGAUAGAUUGAGAAUAGUAAAGCAGAAAGAGGGAAAAAAAACACUUGGAUCCUUGAUGAUAUCUCUGAGUCACUGAAGGAACCCAUUUUGAAACCAUGUUAACUUUGAGCUUCCUGUUCAAUAAGAAGGGAACUUGAUAAAUUGUUCUUCUUAUUUAAACAAUUUAGAAGUAGAGUUAUACUUUAUAUAUAAUUGUGCCAAAGAACGAAAAAACAAGAAGCCCUAAGAAUGUUAUUUUUUGACUCAUUUCCCUCCCUCUCAAUAGAGGAGGAAAUUUCUGCUAUCAGAAUAUCUUCAUCCUCUGCUUGUUAAAUCCUGUGCUAUAUAUUUUGGGAGGGGAAAACCAGACACGCACAUCUUUAAAAGAUCUAAGGCCUGUAAUAAAUGUCUAAAUUUCUCUUCAGCAUAUUUUUGUGUUUGCAGAUUCAGAGACAAAAGACUUUAAUCUCGGCUGCUAAAUCCCCCUUUUAAAAUUAAAUUUAAAGUAACAUUUGAGGCUGUGUAUAUUGGCUGCAGAUUCCUCCCCAUAUUCUUCCGGGGAGUUACCCACCAAUGACAUGAGAGUCCCUCUCUAUAAUAAAGUAGCUUUAAAAAAAAUAGCUGCUUAUUAAGGCAGAGAUUCUAAUAUUAGCCUACUAUUUCACUGAAUAAAGGAAUUGGGUGUCUUUUGUACAAACUUGAGGGUCUGGAUGUAUUUCUGCACUUUUCUUCAAUGCUUUACAGAAUCUUAAAAUAGCAUUCCCCCUCCUUUCCCUCCAUCUCCAUGCAACCACAACAGAAUGUGAGGUACUGGUUUGGGGCUUUGGAACCGGUAUAUGUUAUGUUCAAUUUUAUUUUCCAUGCUUAAAUGAAGCUAGUUCCUUCCUCUUUCAUUUGGGAUGUAAGAGGGGAAAUGAAUAUUAUUUUUAAAUAUGACUCGGUGUUCUGCCCGUCUGUCUGUGGCCAUCGGGAAAGUGGGAUGUUGGGGGUAAAAAAAUAUGGAAAAGGAGUGUCCAGGGAAAGUAUUUCAGAGAUCAUGGAUUUGUCUAUUUUGUCUAUAGCCUGCUAGGAGUUACAAAAGAAAGGAAGAGGCUUUUUCUGUCUGUAACAUUAUACAGCCUUGGUCUACACCAAACACCAGGGGCAGGGGGAAAUGGAUGGGUGGAGUGGGUUGACAACUUGUAGGAAAAGUUCUGAUUUUGUGGUAGUCUGAGAAUGCCAAUGAAUGUUUAUAUAUUUAAUUUUGAGAGUGGAAUUUCACUAACUCUCCUGGGAAUUGAAAAUAGGACUUUAUUUAAUCUUCUCCCUUUGCAGUGGGAAAGAAAAGAAAAGGAAAGAGCUGAAGGAACUAUAAAGAAGCGAAGGAAGAAGGAAAUGCAGAGAAUAUUUCAUUCACCCUUUCAUGCUGUGGAGAAGGAAAGUGAGACCCAGAGCCAGGAAGUGAGUCCUCCAGGGUCACACAGUGGCUGACAGCAGAAAAGGCAUUGUGAUUUGGCUUCUUCUAUCCUUGUGUCAUCACUGAAGCACAGAAGCAUGGGUGUGAAGCAGGAAACUUAAAGACAACAGUAGAAACCAGAAAGCAGAAAAAAGGAACAAGAAAGAAGGCUCCCUGCAAACCCCAACCCUUUGAAUAUGUCCAAAUUCAUCAAAUUGUACAGUAGCAGGAUCACUCUUGAGAACUCUGACCUUCCUUCCACUCCAGUUAACUUCUCUGCAUGGGAGGGGGAGAUGUUUUUGACUGAUGAGACAGAGAAGAAUCAUCAUCCACUGAUCCAUGUUCCUGCUUGACUGCAGUGAACAAAGUUAAAAGUCGGAAUACAUGGGGCCUCACUCUCCACACUGCCCCCAACUCCAAGAGCCUCUCCAUCCCUGGACAAGGAGAAGGUACAGUUUCCCUCGUGUCUAAGUAAGCAUCAGCUCUGCAAAUGCAACUCAGCCUUGGGUUCCAACGUUUCAACUUAAGAGGAAAUAUAAGGUUGCCACCUACUUUGGCUUCAGAUUUUAAUGUGCUCUCCAGGUCAAUUUCCCAAGUAAUUAAGCUGAUGAUCUCUAGUGAAUUCUUGGGUCUAGGUAUCAAUUAGUUCAAAGCUUUGAAAAGCAAGGAUGUGAGUAUUAGCCUGAAACUCAUCCGUUCAUACACCACAGUGGGCUUCCGCCCACGCUCCUGGCUCUAAGAAACUAAAUCUUGAGCCUCUUACAUGACACUUUAACAUGCUGUGAACAUAUGCCUAGAUAAAUGUCGGGGAACCCACUAAAUAAAGCACUGCUCUAUCAAUGCACAGGACAGCUACAUUCCAAAGACUUCCUCUCUGAAGAUUUCUGUAAGAUCAAGCAGAGGAUAACUCAAGUAAAGGGGAAAUGCUUUCCUUAACUUAUUCCUAUGUACAUAAGGUUCCAUGUCAGCUCAUUAGGGCAGAGCCACAUAACUCUCUCCUCCCUUUGGGGCAGAUGAGCUCCAAACAUCUGUCCAGCCAGGCAGAGUUCCUGGAAUUAUGGGCAAAAUAUCCAGGUCGCAUAUGAGACAAAUUCCCUAGCAGAGGAAUAAGGCAAACUUUGUCUUAGGAUGCUUUCUCAUAAACACAGGAAGUAUCAUAAAAUAAUAAUUUCAACCCAUUUUUACUCAAAGAGAUGAGUGAACUGAUGAAUUAAAUAAUUAAAUUAGGUUUUGACAUUUUCUUAACAAGAAACAGAUCGCUGCAAUUAGAAGAGUUUGCAGAGUAAUUAUUUCACAUUGCUAGUUCAGACUGCUUUCACAGAGAGAUGGGCGUUUCCCUUAACAUGUGGCCAAGACAUAGGACAAAAUGGGUGUAUUUUGGAUAGAAACACGGAAACAUGAAGAGGUAUAUGCUUUGUAUACAGUGGCUAAAUUGUCUGGUCAGCUGUUUCUAACAGCAGGGGUGCAAAUAGGUCUUGAUAACUUCAUGUUCUGUUUCAGAUUUAUGAUCCAUUAAAAAUAUUUACAGUUUUAAAGCCCCAGGGCCAUGAUUGUGCCAUAGGCUGUUAUUCCGAGGCAGCACAUUGGAACUCGUUUACUGUGUGUGAUUUUUAUUUUCUAAAGAUUUCUCUUCUUUCUUCUGUUGUCUCCCUCCUUCCCUCUCUUUCAUUUUCUCUUUUCUUUUUUGAACGAGGAAUUUUGCUCUUUGUCAGAAGGUGAUAAAGAAGGCAACAAUGACCUUGAAUUCCUGUUCACAUCCAAAUUGUAUUGGGAUGUAGAACUCAGCUCCAUCUGGGAGUAGUUCUCUGGUAAUGAGAAAAUUCAUACCAGGCCCUAUUUUCAGCCUGAGAGUCCCCUUCCAGCCCCUUGGAAACAUCACAGUGGAGAAAGGCCCCCUUAGUGGCACACUCAGCCUCUCAUUUCUCCAGAGGGGUUAUUUUUGCAUAUUUCUGGCAGCCUGGCCUCUGACCUAUAGCCUGAUGUAAUAGGGUUCAAGUUAAGUAAAGUCAACAGUUGCCUGGCCUAUUAUUAUGUUUACCCUUGGUCCUUCUGCAAGCAGAAAACUUGCUUCUCUAGUAAUUCUCAACAGGUUAAACCUCUCUUUGGAUCUGCUUCUUCUCUGAUUUCUGAAUUGGUGAGAAUGAGCUACAUUAAUGGGAAAACUAGGGAAGGAUUGAGAUGAUAAAGAGAAAUUAGGAAAUACACUGCAAAAAACCUGGCGGAAUUAAAGAACUAUGGAUGAAGAGCCACGGAUGUUCACAGAGGCUUCAGGUUCUGAAUAUGGACGAAUAUGAUGCCGAGAUGUGUCCGUUUCAGACACCACUGCACUGAGAAAGGCUAGAGAAUGCUAACAUCUCAUCUUUGGAAAAGAUCUUGGAAAGAAUUUAACCUGGCGGUUUUGGAAUGUUUUUAGUAACUUGAUCUUUUCUUUGAGUCUAACUCAGAUUUCCAGUUUAUAAAACAGAUACAAUCAACGCUGCCCUAGAUAAUACCCCAAAAAGGAGGCUGAGGGCCUAUAUCACCUCUGCCCUCCUUCCCUCACCACACGGCCUCUGAGAUGCCUCCUCGAAGCCCCUGUCUAAUCAGCAUGGAGCAGAGCCUGAAAACCACUGCGAGCACAGCAUGUGCCCAGACAGGAGUCACCUCUGCAGGAUCCCUGACUCAGCCCCACUCAUGAGAAUUCCCAGCAGCUUCCCAGCAGCUGGAGCUGCCCUGACUUUCACCAUCAGAGUGGCUCUUCGCUACCAGAGCCUCUGAAACAAACCUACCCCUCUGUCCAUGUGACAACCUUCAAAUAUAGGACCACAGCCAGUAUGUCUCCUUGUGGUCUCCACACCCCACUGUUUGCAUUCGAUUAUUUGCUCCUUGAAGUCAGGAGUUGUGCCUGUUUUAUCUUCACAGUCUCAGUGCCUAAUCCAAUAGUGAGUAGUAAGCGCUUAAUAAAUGUUUGUCCUAGAUAAAGUGGUGAUAGUUACAAGAUGACACCUGGAUGAUUAAUAAUAAAAUAAUUAUAAAGACUCCAAUUAUUAAACUAGGCAUUGGGUUCAACACUUUAUAUACAAAAUGUAUUUCAAUUUUUUGGAAACACUUAAUAAGCAUUAUUAACGCUGUUUAAUAGAAGAGGAACUGAGGCUUAGUGUUAACUGCCAUAGGAGGGCCACACAGCUAGCAAGCAAGAGGAGGAAGCAGGACUUGAGUCCAGGCUUAUCUCAGCUUUUAACCACAAUGAUAGAAUCUAGUGGUUGAGGCCAGUGUUGACAGAUGUUCAGUAGAGACAAGGGCUGGGGAGGGAAGGAUAGGAAGGAGACACUGUGUAAGCAAGUGGAGGAAUCCAGAGUUGCUACUUGGGAAAUUGUCCUAAUAGAUGCACUUCUACCAUCACCACCACCCUGAGCUCCAUUUCUCUUCUUUCCUCCCUUUUCUCUGUCAAUUCUCAUCUUGACCCAGAUUUUUUUUUCUUCCAACAGUCAAUGGGUGGAUACUGUCUGAAUUCCUGAAGGGUUUCUGCUACUAGAACAUGACCACCCAGAGCUGUCUGCUCUCCAAUGGCUUAGCACAGCAGCAGCAAAGGAGGCGGGAGGCAGGCUGGAGGACAUGACAUCGCAGAUGUAUGAUACAUGUAUAGGACAGCCUCUGGCACAUGGCAGGUCAUCAAAUGAUUCAGUGUUCUCCCUUCCUUUCAAAAUGUCUUCUUGCCAGUUUCCCACAGUCUCUCGUAAUUUCCUUCUCUAGAGGCUCUAGUUUUGUCUAGGACUGAUUUGACAUUCCUGACCAUCUGUGGAAAAUGAUGCCUCCCAGAAGACACCAUUCUUUAAGACCUUCCUAUCCCAAUCAGGACAAUAAGCUCUCUCUUAAGGUCAACCCUUACCUUCACCCUGCACUUGUACCUUUCCUCAUCAUCACUGAUGCUCCUUCCUUCUCCAUUGAGCCCAAUGUUAGCAUGUGAGGCUUUUGAGCUUCCUUGUUUCAUUAUUAAUGGAGCUUGAGAUUUUGUUUCUUGCUUUGGAAGCUACAUUGCAAAUAAAGGUAGGGGCAGGAAGUGAGAUCUGAUUUGCUGUCUGGUGCCAAGGCUAUGGUUAGAUCUUUGAGGCGAAUUUCUAAGUGACUUUGGGUUAGAGUCAGAAUACAUGUUUAAGGUAAAUAGAGAAGAGAACUCUCUCUCAAGUGGGGGAAUCUCAGAGACUAGUGUCUUGGAGAGAGGUUUAUUGGCUAAAUAAUAAUUCCUUACAUAUGUUCAGCAUUUCACAGCUCACCAAGUACUUCUUUGAGUAUUAUCCCAUUUGAUUCUUGAAACAAUGCUCUAAGGUAGCUGGGAAAAUACCAUUGUUCCCAUUUUAUACACACUCUGCACUCUUCAGUAAGGACAGCAGAACUUAUGGGACUUAUUCACAGUCAUUCAACACUUUAUUGUAAGAACCAGGACUGAAACCGAAGUUUUCUGACUUGUGAAGAUCAUAUGAAUAAGGCAGGUAUGUAACCCACCUGAGAAAAUGUCUUCUGCCUUUAUGUAUUUAGAGAGUGUUAGUCUCUGUCCUCAUUUUCUUUCUGAAUCCUGGAUCUGUGUCCUUUUUUUCAUUCACCAUGCUGGAAAAAUAGAUAAAAGGAAGUGAUUUGGAGAGAAGGAAGAGAAGAACACGGUUCUUGAUCUCCAGGGACUGGUUCUAAGACAUGCUUCUGAGGCUGAGGUUGAUGCUAUUGUGAAACCCAGUAUGAAGCAUAAUCUCGUUAGGUCUAACCAGCAGAGAGUGGGAGAACAGUGUCUCUCUUCACUUCUGCUUCCUUUCCUCCCUCCUUUCCCACCCAGCUUUUGUGGUUUGUUAAUUAUUUGAGGCAAGGGUAUUGGAGGUGCCUAGGCUCUGUCUUCUGACUCAGUCUCAUCCCUCCCUGUCCCAUAAAAAUGUCUCAGAGGCCUUGUGGAUCUGAGAAUAUGAGGCAAACCAACCACCUCGCCCUUUCUAGGCUUGUACAUGGGUUUCUGAACUGUCCCCCAACAAACCCUCCCUAUGAUCCCACCCACCCAGCCACUAUUGCCAGCCCAACUUACUGGAAAUCUCUGUUCCUCUAAAGCAGACAUUGGCUUUGUUCCCAGAGCCAGGCAAAAUGGAAAUGCUUUCUAAGAAAAACACAAACAAGAGAAUUACAUCCUGAUCUGACCAGUUGGAAAUUUCUUCACAGUAUAAUUUUAUUUAUUCUUCAUCAAGGAUGCUUUAUCCCUCUUUCUGCAAAGACUGGUCUGCUAGGUCAACAAAGUAACUGAUACUUAUUUUUUUCCCUAGUUAUUAAAAAAAAUCCAACCCAUAUAAAUUGCUGUCAAUUCUGGUGACUUAUACUAUAGUUAGAGCUCUGGUAUCAAAAAUAAAUUGAUAUGAUGGUCCUGAAAGAGCAAUAGGAUCCCCUUUCUUGAAAGACAUUUAAAGAUUUGAGAAACUCUGAAGUGCCUCUGGACUACGGCCCUCACUCCCCUACUUCACCUACAGCUCAGAUUAUGUUUUUUAGUAGUAUGAUUAUUGGAUUCAACUCACUGCCACCAUCUUUGGAUAAUGCCAUCCAAGAGCAUGACUAUUCUCCAAUGUCUAAGUUCUCCAAAAACCUCUUUGUUUUCCUUUGCCCACUGCAGUCCAGUAAAUGUUACAUUAUUUUAGAGGUGACCUAAUUUGACCUUCAAAUCAUCCUUAAAAUUGGCUUUCCCACAGUAAAAGAAUUUCAGGCCACAGACUGUAACCAUUGUGUUUAUCUCACACAAUAUUGUUUUGAAGGCUUCUGUCAACGUAACUCAAGUUUGAAGCACUAAGCUGGCACUUGAUAUAUGUUGCUGAGCAGUCUAACUACAGGAUAUACUAUUUAUUAUUUUAGUAGCAAUGGGAAGUAUAUGCCAAGCCUUGUUUUAGAUGCUGCAAAUGCCAUGUGCCUAUGAACAGUCCAGUUUUAGACUCUAAAGAAGCUCUUAUUACAUAUUCAUAUUCCAGUUCAUAGAUAUUUCUCCUAGACUUUGGUUUUCAGAUUAUUUAACUGUUAUGUUUUUACUCAACUUUGUAUCAGUUUUUGCUUCAUCUCUUUCCUUUGUCCUAAUCCUUUGGAAGGAAUAGCAACAGCAAUGGUGAUGAGAAAGAGCCCAAGAAGGGUAGACUUGAAUUCUGCUUUUCAUUCAUUCAUUCUGUGAUCACCAACUUCUCCCUUUACUUCUCUUAUCCCAGCGAAUUUAUAUGUAAUAUUAGGAGAAUAGAAAUGCAAGGGACCCCAGGAAUAAAAUAAUUACUUGUCGAAAAUAAAUGGUCAAAGAUGACUAUUGUCCAGGUGUUAGAGAUGGAAAGGUAAAUCAGAUUUGAUCCCUGACCCUAAGGGGCCAAACAGUCUGGCAGGAAAACAAUCUUUGAGCCUAGAGUUUUUUCCUUGUACCCAGCACAUGCCUUAAACUUCGUGAGUGCUGGAGAACCAGAUGUUAAUUUGGGCUUGGAAUUUUGAGCUAGUUCUUUUACCAUAAUUGCUAUUUCCAAGUGGAGCUGAUCAUCUUUAUACUUUCUAUUUCUAGGGGAGAAAGAUAUAUUCUGGUAUAGAUCCUAGGUGUUCCCAAUUGGCCUAUAAAUUGACUUCGUGAUACAACAGAACAGGCAUAAAUUAAAAUAUCCUCUUCUGUUACUCACAAAUUCCAUACUUUUGGAUAAGUCAUGUCCCCUUUUGUGCCUCAUUUUAUCCCACUGAUAAUAAGAGGUUUGAAUUAGAUGAGUUCUGUGGUCCCUCCUACUUGAACAUUCUUUGAGUUGAAGAUCAUGGCCACAUCACUCAGCCCUGCUACCAGUGCCCAGGCUCUGGCGUUAGGCGUAUGUGUCUAAGCUAUUUGGUUGUCUCUUUUUCUGCCCCUUUCUCCCUUCAAUCCAUCCCUAGUAUCUGUACACCAGAUCCACUGCCUUGGGCCUACCAUAUAUAUUACAUUGGUGCAAAAGUAACUGUGGUUUUCGUCAUUAAAAGUAACCGCAGAAACCACAAUUACUUUUGCAUCAACCUAAUACUUCUGCUUCACAGUUUCUCAGUUCCUUUUUUCCGUCUACUGCAUUUCUUCUUGAAAUUGGAAUCGUUCUCUCCCUGGAUUUUACCCAAUCCCCCUGAAUCGGCAGAGGACUCUCAGCUUCUCUCCUCAGCUUGAACUACAUCUCGCUCCUGUGAACUUGUUUUCUUCAAGGCUUUGUAGCCUCUAUUUUAUAAGCAACACCUAUGGACUUCUGAAAAAACUACUUGAGAAUGCUAUUUUUUAUGUUUUACACUCAGCUCCCUAUUACCAUGUCUUUGUAUUUUGACCAUUUCUAUUACUGUUCAAGGUUACAUAACCUCAAUAUAUGCUACAGACUGAAUGUGUUUUUGAAAUAAGAGGCAGGGGAAAACUGUCAUUAGAGGUAGUAAAAUAUAAAGCUUUUUUCUUUCUUUCACAAUCUCCCUUGACUUGUCAUGGUCAUGUUGUUUUUCAAUUUGCUAUUUAAUGUUCUAAAUAAAGAAAAAUUGAAAUGGUAAAUUACUAGCAUAGAUUUACCAUUCAUCUUGAUAUUGUGCAAUGACACUUUUAAAUGCAAAAAUAAGGGUAUUUCACUCCUAUGAGAGAUUACUGAAAUCGCACAAUUUAUACUUCAUAGCUUGUACAUGCAUAUAUAUUUUGCUCUUUUCAGAACACUGUAAGCACUGCACCAAACCAAUUCAAGUAUUUGUACUUUUCUUCUUAAUAAUAUGCGCAUUCUAACAACACUCUCUACCUUUGACUUACUGAUGAGUAAGAGAGGACUGAAAAGAAAAGGCACUAUGGUUUGCCCUAUCUUUCUCUUUCCUUCUAUGGUAUCAUUUUCAGUGCAAAUGGUUGACUAAUAGAGGAAGUAACAUGAGUAAUGAAAGAUAUGACAGAGUCCCUUGCUAAUUCUUGUUUCUUAGAAUGUCCUUGCCCUCUUUCUGGCUUGAAUGAAAAAUGUGGCCUCCUGGGACUGUCAGUGGUGUGGUCCCCACGUCCUUAGUCAUAGACAUAACAUACUUACAUUG
This is a non-coding RNA of Chlorocebus sabaeus (green monkey), 9628 nucleotides long. NCBI's taxonomy places the organism in Eukaryota, Metazoa, Chordata, Mammalia, Primates, Cercopithecidae. The record is from RefSeq and is a predicted model, not a curated record.